UUUCUAUCGUCACAGAGCAUUGUUUUGGAAACAAAUAUUGGCAAUAUACAAGCGGUUGUGGAUGAAUGAUAUACGUUUUUGCUUCUCUUUUCUCCCUCCCCAAAAUUUCAUUAGUUCUGUAAAAUCCAAAAAAUAGAGACAAUGAACAGAAAUCCAUUAAUUAUGACGGAAUGGCGAAGGCAAAUUUGUUCCCUCCCUCUAGACGGAAGCAUUUUUAAUUAUCAUCCAAACGGCAUCGAAAUAUUUUGAAUGAAUAGACGAAUUCAUAAACAAAGGCCAGACACAUAUACAAACAACAAGAAAAAAUAUCUCAUCGUUCUAAGGCAAAUAACCAGCAUGGAGGAUUUGAAUUAGGCAACAGACUAAGACCGCAAAAAACUACUUGAGUUGGAAAUGAUAAACGUUUCUUCCGAGUUCUGUUUUCAUUCUUGCCAUGUUUCUUUUUUUCUGUUACAUACAUCCAAUUAACAAUCUCUUAGGAAAUCUAUCGAUGGGGGGUGCGUAUGAAAUUAAAUUAAACGUCAGUAAAAAGGGUCAACAAUUGGGGUCUUUCCAUUUCGCAUCUAUGCAUCAUUGGGUGACUUAGAGCUCACGCCAAAACCAUGUAACAAAGAUGUAAAAUGUAAAGUCCACUUGAGAUGGUCAUGGCGUUUUUUAACCUACAUUCGUAUAGCAUCAAGUCAAUGGGCGUGGGUUAAGUGAAGAAUUUGUUUGUCUCUCCAUAAGAAUUGUGGAAAAUUAAAAGUUCACGUAAGGGGUUAAUUUGGGCUUCUUUUAAGAAAAACAAUGUUGUUGUUGUUAUUUUAGUUUUAUAUUCAGUUUUUCAAUUUUGAAGUUGUAGAAAAUAUAAGAGAGAUCCGCACAAUUACCGAAAGGCAAAAUUGAUGGUUUGGUCUUUGCCAUUCACUUUUUAA
This is a long non-coding RNA of Stomoxys calcitrans (stable fly), 914 nucleotides long. RefSeq lists it as uncharacterized. The transcript has 2 exons. NCBI's taxonomy places the organism in Eukaryota, Metazoa, Arthropoda, Insecta, Diptera, Muscidae. The record is from RefSeq and is a predicted model, not a curated record.